GUUUAAAUUUCAGAAAAGAUAAUGAUGAAAGUAUGAAUCAUUUUUAGCAGUAUUAAGAAAAAUUACUAUUUUUGAAAUCUGCCCUCACUGGCAUCAGGUUUAUAAUACGCACUUUAUACACCUGCCUAAAUAAGUAUUACUCAUCCAUUUAUGAAAAAUACGUUUGAGAUAAAAGAAGGGUCUCUAGAUUUUACAAAAUAAUUUUAAACACUUUUUUUAAGACUGAAGAAAAAAAUGAAGAAUUAAGAAAACUUUUUGAGUGAAUAUCAUCACUGGAAUAUAAUGUGAAUCGGAUAAGAAAGAAAAAUCAUUAACUAGAACAAAAGGCAACUGGAUAUAAGAAACUCCUGGAAAUGAUAAUAAAUAUGUUAUACGUAUUUGGAAAUGAAGACUUUGGUUUCCAUAAAGACUUAAAAACAGAUAAACUGAAAAUGGAUAUUCUGAUUAAGAAGCUAAACCAUAAGACACAAGCACAAUAUGAAAAACAAUUGGAGCAGUUAAGCAAGGAUAACAUGGCUUCACUAAAUAAGAAGGAACUCACACUUAAAGAUGUGGAAUGUAAAUUCUCCGAAAUGAAAAACUGCUUAUGA
This 590-nucleotide long non-coding RNA is filed under the name Macaca mulatta (Rhesus monkey). Its description in RNAcentral is "lncRNA (ENSMMUG00000050598.1)". Lineage: Eukaryota; Metazoa; Chordata; Mammalia; Primates; Cercopithecidae. The record is from RNAcentral.